GAGUUUGAUCGUGGCUCAGAACGAACGCUGGCGGCGUGCCUAACACAUGCAAGUCGCGCGAGAAAAGGGGGGCAACUCCCUGAGUAAAGCGGCGCACGGGUGAGUAACACGUAGGUAAUCUACCCUCGAGUCCAGGAUAACCUACCGAAAGGUGGGCUAAUACCGGAUAUGACCACGGGAGUCUCGGCUCCUGCGGUGAAAGGUGGCCUCUGCUUGCAAGCUACUGCUCGGAGAUGAGCCUGCGGGCCAUUAGCUAGUUGGUGAGGUAACGGCUCACCAAGGCGAUGAUGGCUAGCUGGUCUGAGAGGAUGGCCAGCCACACUGGGACUGAAACACGGCCCAGACUCCUACGGGAGGCAGCAGUGGGGGAUAUUGCGCAAUGGGCGAAAGCCUGACGCAGCGACGCCGCGUGGGUGAUGAAGGCCUUCGGGCCGUAAAGCCCUGUCGAGGGGAACGAAACGGUCUCGACCUAACACGUCGAGUCCCUGACGGUACCCCUAAA
Molecule: ribosomal RNA, 502 nt
Filed under: uncultured delta proteobacterium
Lineage: Bacteria; Deltaproteobacteria
Description: bacterial SSU rRNA
Rfam family: Bacterial small subunit ribosomal RNA
Source: RNAcentral